This 99-nucleotide non-coding RNA is filed under the name human gut metagenome. RNAcentral describes it as "THF riboswitch". It matches the Rfam family "THF (Tetrahydrofolate) riboswitch aptamer". Rfam says of the family: THF riboswitch presents a pseudoknot that joins P1-P2 and the loop of P3 and two THF binding. The record is from RNAcentral.
CAGAGUAGGAACAGGCGCGUUAAGUGCUGGUCGGACGGGAAGUUGCCGGCCGGACGAGUGGGCCGGAGGCCCAGCGGUGCCUGUUCCGCAUUCCGCUGU